ACCUGGCUGACUCAGUCAGUAGAGUAUGUGACUGUUGAUCUCAGGGUCAUGAGCUUAAGUCCCAUGUUAGGUG
This 73-nucleotide transfer RNA is filed under the name Ailuropoda melanoleuca (giant panda). It matches the Rfam family "tRNA". From Rfam's summary of the family: Transfer RNA (tRNA) molecules are approximately 80 nucleotides in length. Their secondary structure includes four short double-helical elements and three loops (D, anti-codon, and T loops). The record is from Rfam by way of RNAcentral. Lineage: Eukaryota; Metazoa; Chordata; Mammalia; Carnivora; Ursidae.